This 360-nucleotide long non-coding RNA is filed under the name Gossypium barbadense (sea-island cotton). RNAcentral's name for it is "long non-coding RNA (GBAR_LNC008029)". The record is from RNAcentral. Lineage: Eukaryota; Viridiplantae; Streptophyta; Magnoliopsida; Malvales; Malvaceae.
AUAUCAUCCCCAUGACAUAGCAAAGAUUUGAACCAUGGGCUAAUUAGAACUCAAGCUAGCAACUAAAAACAUGCAUGAAUCUCAUGGCACAACCUCAAACUUACCUUGAUCUAGAUACAAGUAUGGCCAAACCUCCUCCUAAUCCUCUUCCAAACCAAACAUGAAGCAAGAACUCCUUCCUCCUUCCUUAGAAUUUUCGGCCAAAAGAAGAUGAAAAAAAGAUGAACAAAAUUUUUUCUUUUCUUUUCUUUUACUCACGGCAAUGGGGGGGAAACAACCACACACCUUUUUUUUUUGUUUUCAUCAUAUUUCCUUUCAUUAUUUUAUGCCCAUGCUCCUUAUUUUAUUGUUUCCACCCAU